Apteryx haastii (Great spotted kiwi) is the source of this 1140-nucleotide long non-coding RNA. The record is from Ensembl. Lineage: Eukaryota; Metazoa; Chordata; Aves; Apterygiformes; Apterygidae.
AUGCUGCCCCCAAACACGUGGAUGGAGAUGGGGCCGAGCUCGUCGUGCCCCGGGCUGGCCCGUCCCCUCCUGCCAGCCCGCAGCCUUGGGGAGGGGUCCCUGCGUCCCCCCGCCUCCGUCCCCUGCUCCGGCCGGGCACGCGCAGCACCACCGCCCUCCUUUUGGGAAGGACCUGGGCUCCAGCCCAGCAGCGCGUUGAGCAUCGCCCAAGGGGGAUCCGGGUGCUCGGACCUCCCGCUUGUACCCGGGGGGAGCGGGGGGCUGCAGCGGGGUCCCUGCAGGGUCCCUGUGUCCCAGCCGGGCAGGGCGACCUCAGGGCUCCCCGGCUGCCACCGCAGCGCUGCCACGCGCGGGGACGCUGCGGGGGGGCGGCCGGAGGCUCGGCCCAGUGGGGUUUUCCUAGGCGGGGGGACACCAAGCCACUGGCACGGGACACGCAAGGAGGGCAUCCCGCAUCUCCCGCGCCCCACGGGAGCUCCUGGAGCGCGGCCAGCACCGAGGGAGGAGGCAGGGCUGAUGGGGACGCAGAGGACGGCGACACCGCGGGCUGGGACAACAGGGAAACGGGAGGAGAAGGGCAAACGGCCCCCGAAGGUGGGGAAGCCCUCGCCAGCUCCGUCCUUCCCUGCAAACGCGGCUGUCUCUCAGCUCCCCGCAACCGCGCUGCACCCCGGGACGGCCGAGCGCGAGGCAGCCGCUCUUCCCGAUCGGCUGAGCAGCCUCCCGCUUCCUCCAGCUCCUCCUGCCCCCGGCCCGAGGGCUCCUGGAAAGGCUGGGAGAGCUGCACGCAGCCAUGCACAGUUGUGCACAGCCAUGCACAGCCGCACACAGUCGCACGCAGAGCAGCGCGCGGGAGCCCUCGCCUGGCGACUGUCAGAUCCAACUCCGGCACUCGGCUCCUUGCACACGCCGCCGGACAGCGUGCCGAAGGGUUGCCCGCUGUACGGCAGCGCCUCGGCAUCCUGCCUGGGGAGGAAGGCGGAAAGCUCCUCCGAUCGCUGCCGGUUGCACCAGCUGCAGGGCUUUUCUUUUUUUUUUCUUUUUUACAUUUGCCUUCUGGAUCUCAAGCCUUUAGGACUCGUCUUCCACCUUUUCUCCACUGCAGAAAGAUCUGGGAGUUUCCUUUCUCAAAGCACGUAA